CCCAGGUUAAAAUAAACUAACCACUUGAACCCUACAUAUUUUAAGUUACAAAUGAUAAAACAAUUAAUUUUGUUGGAAAAUUAACUACAGUCCAAAUGUAUGUUUAAAAUGGAAGCAUAACUUAAGGAAAAAAAAUAAAAUAAAUUAAAUGCAGAAAUAAUAUGGUUACGUAUGCGGAUAUGACGAAAAUACGUAUGACGUAGUCACGCAACGGAUGUAGAGAGAGAUGAUGCUCGAGUCAGAAACAGGAGUGUGAAUCAUCAAAUGUGCAAAAUGGUAAAUUCAUUGUUUUUUUACCAUCAAAAAUGCAUUGAAAGUGUAACAUAGUCUUUGAAUAUUAAUAUUGAAUGAUUGAUAGUGUGAUUAUUGUUGAUAUUGAAGUGGAUGCAAGCUGAUAUUGAAAUCUGAUGACCAUGAACAGGUGUCUGCUAAAGUGUUUAGUCAUCUGACUUGGUCAGGUUUUUUGAUCGGUUUAAAAGUGAAAGUGAAAGUGAUCUUUGGCCAACGAGAUCUGUGCUACGGAGACAACAAACACUGUGAAAGUGAUUUGUGGCUGACGAACUCCGCGUGAGUGGCUGUAAACAGACUCUACGCUAACUUUAGUCGUUUGGAGCAACCAAAAAACCCUCCGUGACAACGUGAUGGCGAGCCAACCCCGAGAGUAACUUGGAUCACCAUAGCAACAGCUGGACACGACUUGAGAAUACGAUAAGUGCAUUUAAAUAUUUUUUCGUUUUGGACCACGGAACAAUUAAUCUACGAUAACGGACGAACUUUGAGGUUUUUUUUGUUAUUCAUACGAACUGAACUGUUUACAUUUGUGGAAUAUAUUUCAAAUUGAGAGGUU
This is a non-coding RNA of Misgurnus anguillicaudatus (oriental weatherfish), 847 nucleotides long. Lineage: Eukaryota; Metazoa; Chordata; Actinopteri; Cypriniformes; Cobitidae. The record is from RefSeq and is a predicted model, not a curated record.